Molecule: unclassified non-coding RNA, 22 nt
Filed under: Dictyostelium discoideum
Lineage: Eukaryota; Evosea; Eumycetozoa; Dictyosteliales; Dictyosteliaceae
Source: RNAcentral
GGGUCAGGUGGGGAGUUUGGCU